This 146-nucleotide unclassified non-coding RNA is filed under the name soil metagenome. RNAcentral describes it as "partial internal transcribed spacer 1". The record is from RNAcentral.
CCGAGUUUACAACUCCCAAACCCCUGUGAACAUACCACUUGUUGCCUCGGCGGAUCAGCCCGCUCCCGGUAAAACGGGACGGCCCGCCGGAGGACCCCUAAACUCUGUUUCUAUAUGUAACUUCUGAGUAAACCAUAAAUAAAUCA